This 75-nucleotide transfer RNA is filed under the name Candidatus Omnitrophota bacterium. RNAcentral describes it as "Candidatus Omnitrophica bacterium tRNA-Glu". It matches the Rfam family "tRNA". From Rfam's summary of the family: Transfer RNA (tRNA) molecules are approximately 80 nucleotides in length. Their secondary structure includes four short double-helical elements and three loops (D, anti-codon, and T loops). Lineage: Bacteria; Pseudomonadati; Candidatus Omnitrophota. The record is from RNAcentral.
GUCCCCAUCGUCUAGUCUGGCCUAGGACAAGAGCUUUUCAAGCUCUCGACCGGGGUUCAAAUCCCCGUGGGGACA